GAGUAAAAUAUGGAGUGGGGUUGGAGAUGUCUUUAUAGCCUUGUUUCCAUUAAUUAGAUAGAUACUUUAAAACUUCCAUUUCUUGGUCCAGUUCAUAAGUUUUCUGUGCGUGGUACAGGUAGCCUAAUGUCCUGAAAUCAUCAUCAGCGGAACAAAGAAAGAUGGACGCCUUGGCAAGUGAUUUUUCAGGCACAUUCUUGUUUGAUGAAGAACUAGAUCUUGUUUAUUUGACUUCGUAUAAACUCUCUUAAGUUUAAACCCCCAAUAUCACCAAUAUUGAUAUUGUCUACACGUCUUCAGUUAUGGUCUGGAGAAGCAAUUCGACGAGGACCUUUACAAGGACUUUGUCUUUGAGCAGCUAACACUUGACUUCUACCUCAAGGGAAACCUAUAUGGCUUGGAGAAAUAUUGGGCAUUCCACCAUUACCGAGGCCAGAAAGAACCGAUAGAGAAGCGCCCUGAGCUAGAGAAGCUACUGAAGCAACAGGUGUUACUUGAGAAUAUUAUUUAGAUAGUACUUUCGUAGAUUUGUUUCAUCUUUAGCAUAUAAUUGGCAUAUAUUGUUUCUGUUAUGUUUUAUGUUGACUACAAGUCUACAACUCCUCAACUUGUAUACAAAUGAAAACAUGAGCUUCAAAAUCAAAUGUAAAGAAUUAUUUUUGUAGGUUA
Molecule: long non-coding RNA, 669 nt
Organism: Raphanus sativus (radish)
Lineage: Eukaryota; Viridiplantae; Streptophyta; Magnoliopsida; Brassicales; Brassicaceae
Exons: 2
Source: RefSeq, a predicted model, not a curated record